This 696-nucleotide ribosomal RNA is filed under the name uncultured archaeon. RNAcentral describes it as "bacterial SSU rRNA". It matches the Rfam family "Archaeal small subunit ribosomal RNA", at positions 223 to 921 of the family's 1478-position model. The record is from RNAcentral.
UAUCAGCCUGUAGUGGGUGUAACGAACCCACUACCCUACUUCCGGUUAGCGGCGUUGAGAGACGGAGCCCCCACAUGGUUAUGAUACAGGAAUCCAGGCCUAUCGGGGCGCAGCAGCUACGAAAUCUGCACACUGUGGGAAACCACGAUGUGGGUAUUCUGAGUGACAACGCAUUGCGUUGUAUGUUCUUUCGCCUAAAAAGCGAGAGAAGUAAGGUCCGGGUAAGACGGGUGCCAGCCGCCCCGGUAAUACCCGCGGCCCGAGUGGUGCUCAUUAUUAUUGAGCUUAAAGCGUUCGUAGCCGGCCUCGUAAAUCCUUGGGUAAAUCGGGCAGCUCAACUGUUCGAAUUCCGAGGAGACUGCGAGGCUCGGGACCGGGAGAGGUCAGAGGUUCUUCGGGGGUAGGGGUAAAAUCCUGUAAUCCUCGAAGGACCCCCACUGGCGAAGGCGUCUGACUAGAACGGAUCCGACGGUGAGGGAUGAAGCCCUGGGGCGCAAUCGGGAUUAGAUACCCCGGUAGUCCAGGGUGUAAACGCUGCGGGCUUGGUGUCGGAGGUCCUACGUGGGCGUCCGGUGCCGGAGAGAAAUUGUUAAGCCUGCCGCUUGGGGAGUACGGUCGCAAGACUGAAACUUAAAGGAAUUGGCGGGAGAGCACCGCACCGGGAGGAGCGUGCGGUUCAAUUGGAUUCAACGCCGG